Molecule: long non-coding RNA, 530 nt
Organism: Amphibalanus amphitrite
Lineage: Eukaryota; Metazoa; Arthropoda; Thecostraca; Balanomorpha; Balanidae
Exons: 2
Source: RefSeq, a predicted model, not a curated record
AUAACGUAGAGAGAUGGUCGAGUGAGCAGUUAAUUGUUUCAGAGCUACUGCCGUUGAAGCAUCAUGAAUUUCUCGAUCUACGCCCUGCUGGUGGUGCUGGUGAUCGCCGUCUGUGUCGGCGUCAGCUCCGUCUCGGCCGACUACGGAGACGACGGAUACUACGGCGGAUACGGAUACGGAAGAUAUUACGGACGGGGAUACCGGAGGAGCUACUAUCGCCGCGGACGCUACUACGGAUAAGCGGCCGUAUUACGGAUGAGGACCCGUAUCGAUGGGAUUGUUCUACAGUCUACACUGAGGUGUCUCCGAGCACAUGAAACUCUGGGAAGAGACCCUGGCAUUCAGUUGUCACCAGCGACCACCGUGCAAUAAUAUCAGAGCACAGUGUGCAGUGUGUGAUUGGAAACAUGGCAACGGCAUGCAAUACCUUCCCGCCACGGGUUUCAGAGUUAAUACGGCGCGGAGUUUCAGCAGUGUGUCAUUGGCGAGCCUGAGCUGUAUAUUUAUAUGAAUAUAUUUUAACCGGAAGC